GUGCGUUGGACUAUUGUGUCUGGAGUAUUUUGGAAAGCAAGGUUGGCACUAAAAAAUACCAAAGUGUCGAUCACCUCAAGCAAGCGCCUCGCCGGGAAUGGACCAAAAUACCGCAGAACAACAUUUGGGCAGCGUGCGACGGUUUCAUUGGCCGUUUGAAGGCCAUAAUUCGUGCCAAAGGUGACAAAUUCGAACAAAUCUAGACUUAAUCUAAAAUUUGAUUCUAUUUCCGACAUUUUUUGCUUUCAUUCAAUAAAAUUUAAAAAAAAAUGUAAAAA
This is a long non-coding RNA of Musca vetustissima, 278 nucleotides long. RefSeq lists it as uncharacterized. The record is from RefSeq and is a predicted model, not a curated record. The transcript is spliced from 2 exons. NCBI's taxonomy places the organism in Eukaryota, Metazoa, Arthropoda, Insecta, Diptera, Muscidae.